RNAcentral lists this ribosomal RNA (352 nucleotides) under uncultured bacterium. RNAcentral's name for it is "bacterial SSU rRNA". It matches the Rfam family "Bacterial small subunit ribosomal RNA", at positions 72 to 423 of the family's 1533-position model. The record is from RNAcentral.
UGUUGUAGCAUUAUGACACCAAGAGUGACGCACGGGUGCGUAACACGUAUGCAACCUACCCUUUACAGGCGGAUAGCUCGGGGAAACUCGAAUUAACCCGCCAUAAUAUAAUUGGAUGGCAUCAUUUGAUUAUUAAAUCUUUGGAGGUAAAGGAUGGGCAUGCGUCUGAUUAGUUAGUUGGUAGUGUAACGGACUACCAAGACGAUGAUCAGUAGGGGAACUGAGAGGUUGAUCCCCCACACUGGCACUGAGAUACGGGCCAGACUCCUACGGGAGGCAGCAGUAGGGAAUAUUGGUCAAUGGGUGAGAGCCUGAACCAGCCAUGCCGCGUGCAGGAAGAAGGCCUUCUGGG